Molecule: ribosomal RNA, 506 nt
Filed under: uncultured bacterium
Lineage: Bacteria
Description: partial 16S ribosomal RNA
Rfam family: Bacterial small subunit ribosomal RNA
Source: RNAcentral
GAUGAACGCUAGCUACAGGCUUAACACAUGCAAGUCGAGGGGUAACGAGAGGAAAGCUUGCUUUCCUUGUCGACGACCGGCGCACGGGUGAGUAACGCGUAUCCAACCUGCCCCCAACUAGGGAAUAACCUUGCGAAAGUAAGACUAAUACCCUAUAAUUUCCUCAGAUGUCAUCUGACGAGGAAUAAAGAUUUAUCGGCUGUGGAUGGGGAUGCGUCUGAUUAGCUUGUUGGCGGGGUAACGGCCCACCAAGGCAACGAUCAGUAGGGGUUCUGGGAGGAAGGUCCCCCACAUUGGAACUGAGACACGGUCCAAACUCCUACGGGAGACAGCAGUGAGGAAUAUUGGUCAAUGGGCGGAAGCCUGAACCAGCCAAGUAGCGUGCAGGAUGACGGCCCUAUGGGUUGUAAACUGCUUUUAUACAGGAAUAAAGUUAGCCACGUGUGGUUAUUUGUAGGUACUGUAUGAAUAAGGACCGGCUAAUUCCGUGCCAGCAGCCGCCGCAG